CCUAUUAGCUGGUUGGUGGGGUGGUGGCCUACCAGGGCAGCGGUGGGUAGCCGGCCUGAGAUGGUGGACGGCCACACGGGCACUGAGACGCGGGCCCGACUCCUACGGGAGGCAGCAGGAAGGAAUAUUGGGCAAUGGGCGCAGGCCUGACCCAGCGACACCGCGUGGAGGACUGAAGGCUUUCGGGUUGUAGACUCCUGGCGCGUGUUGGGAGGGUUACUUGUGGUGGUGCCGCAGGUGGUCUGACGAGGGUGCGAGGUGAGGUCAUGGCUAACUCUGUGCCAGCAGCCGCGGUAAUACAGAGAUGGCAACCGUUGUUCGGAAUCACUGGGCUUAAAGAGCACGUAGGCGGAAGUAUAAGUUGAUUGUGAGGUCCCAUGGCUUGCCCAUGGAGUUGCAGUCAAGGCUGUACAUCUUGAGAUCGGAGGGGGAGAGUGGAACUCCUGGUGGAGCGGUGAGGUGCGUUGAUAUCAGGAGGAGCGCCGGUGGCGAGGGCGACUCUCUGGUCCGAACCUGACGCUGAGGUGCGAAAGCUAGGGGGGCAGGCGGGAUUGGAUGCCCCGGUAGUCCUAGCCGUAAACGAUGGGUACUAAGUAGGGGGAUGGUUUGGUUUCUCUGCUGGAGCAAGGGUUUUAAGUACCCCGCCUGGGGAGUAUGGUCGCAAGGCUGAAACUCAAAGGAAUUGACGGGGGCUCGCGCAAGCGGUGGAGCAUGUGGUUUAGUUCGGGGCAGCGCGAGGGGCCUUACCUGGACUUGACAUGGUAGGAUUAGGCUUCUGAAAGGGAGUUGACGCUCUUCGGAGUGGAACUAUCACAGGUGUUGCAUGGCUGUCGUCAGCUCGUGCCGUGAGGUGUUGGGUUAGGUCCCAUAGCGAGCGAAACCUUUAUCCUUAGUUGCCGGCGGGAGAGCCGGGGACUCUGGGGAGGCUGCCCACGUUGAGUGGGAGGAAGGUGGAGACGACGUCGAGUCAUCAUGGCCCUUAUGUCCAGGGCUACACACGUGCUACAAUGGUUGGUGCAAAGGGAAGCAGGACCGAGAGGUGGAGCAGGUCUCCUAGAGCCAAUCUCAGUUCGGAUUGAGGGCUGAGGUUCGCCCUCAUGAAGUUGGAAUCGCUAGUAAUCGUGGGUCGGCUGUACCACGGUGAAUGUGUUCCCGAGCCUUGUACACACCGCCCGUCAAGCCACUGAAGCAGGGGUAGCCUGAAGUCGCUGACCCAACCCUGAGACUUUGUCGAAGGGAGGGAGGUGCCCAAGGAAGCUUCUGUGACAGGGACUAAGUCGUAACAAGGU
RNAcentral lists this ribosomal RNA (1289 nucleotides) under metagenome. RNAcentral's name for it is "bacterial SSU rRNA". It matches the Rfam family "Bacterial small subunit ribosomal RNA", at positions 237 to 1497 of the family's 1533-position model. The record is from RNAcentral.